GACAGAGGGUGCAAACGUUGUUCGGAAUUACUGGGCGUAAAGCGAGUGUAGGCGGUCUGCUAAGUCGGAUGUGAAAGCCCCGGGCUCAACUCGGGAAGUGCACUCGAAACUGGCAGGCUAGAGUAUCGGAGAGGUUGGUGGAAUUCUCGGUGUAGAGGUGAAAUUCGUAGAUAUCGAGAGGAACACCGGUGGCGAAGGCGGCCAACUGGACGAAUACUGACGCUGAGACUCGAAAGCGUGGGGAGCAAACAGG
This 253-nucleotide ribosomal RNA is filed under the name uncultured bacterium. Its description in RNAcentral is "partial 16S ribosomal RNA". It matches the Rfam family "Bacterial small subunit ribosomal RNA", at positions 524 to 776 of the family's 1533-position model. The record is from RNAcentral.